RNAcentral lists this ribosomal RNA (503 nucleotides) under uncultured bacterium. RNAcentral describes it as "partial 16S ribosomal RNA". It matches the Rfam family "Bacterial small subunit ribosomal RNA", at positions 30 to 523 of the family's 1533-position model. The record is from RNAcentral.
AUUGAACGCUGGCGGCAGGCUUAACACAUGCAAGUCGAGCGGGGUGAUGGUGCUUGCACUAUCACUUAGCGGCGGACGGGUGAGUAAUGCUUAGGAAUCUGCCUAUUAGUGGGGGACAACAUCUCGAAAGGGAUGCUAAUACCGCAUACGUCCUACGGGAGAAAGCAGGGGAUCACUUGUGACCUUGCGCUAAUAGAUGAGCCUAAGUCGGAUUAGCUAGUUGGUGGGGUAAAGGCCUACCAAGGCGACGAUCUGUAGCGGGUCUGAGAGGAUGAUCCGCCGCACUGGGACUGGGAACCGGCCCAGACGACUACGGGAGGCAGCAGUGGGGAAUAUUGGACAAUGGGGGGAACCCUGAUCCAGCCAUGCCGCGUGUGUGAAGAAGGCCUUAUGGUUGUAAAGCACUUUAAGCGAGGAGGAGGCUCUUUUGGUUAAUACCCAAGAUGAGUGGACGUUACUCGCAGAAUAAGCACCGGCUAACUCUGUGCCAGCCGCCGCAGUAA